RNAcentral lists this transfer RNA (73 nucleotides) under Bos taurus (domestic cattle). It matches the Rfam family "tRNA". Rfam says of the family: Transfer RNA (tRNA) molecules are approximately 80 nucleotides in length. RNAcentral also lists the same sequence under 1 other name. The record is from Rfam by way of RNAcentral. Lineage: Eukaryota; Metazoa; Chordata; Mammalia; Artiodactyla; Bovidae.
UCCCUGGCAGUUCAGUGGUUAGGGCUCCAUACUUUCAUUGCCGAGGGCCUGGGUUCAAUUCCCAGUCGGGGAA